GCAAGUCUGGUGCCAGCAGCCGCGGUAAUUCCAGCUCCAAUAGCGUAUAUUAAAGUUGUUGCAGUUAAAAAGCUCGUAGUUGAACUUUGGGUCUGUUUGGCCGGUCCGAUUUUUUCGUGUACUGGAAUCCCAAGCGGACCUUUCCUUCUGGCUAACCUUGGGUCCUUGUGGCUCUUGGCGAACCAGGAUUUUUACUUUGAAAAAAUUAGAGUGUUCAAAGCAGGCGUAUUGCUCGAAUAUAUUAGCAUGGAAUAAUAGAAUAGGACGUUUGGUUCUAUUUUGUUGGUUUCUAGGACCAUCGUAAUGAUUAAUAGGGACGGUCGGGGGCAUCAGUAUUCAAUUGUCAGAGGUGAAAUUCUUGGAUUUAUUGAAGACUAACUACUGCGAAAGCAUUUGCCAA
This 400-nucleotide ribosomal RNA is filed under the name uncultured fungus. RNAcentral's name for it is "SSU rRNA". It matches the Rfam family "Eukaryotic small subunit ribosomal RNA", at positions 555 to 961 of the family's 1831-position model. The record is from RNAcentral. Lineage: Eukaryota; Fungi.